Ictidomys tridecemlineatus (thirteen-lined ground squirrel) is the source of this 2797-nucleotide non-coding RNA. Lineage: Eukaryota; Metazoa; Chordata; Mammalia; Rodentia; Sciuridae. The record is from RefSeq and is a predicted model, not a curated record.
GGUCUGCGUUUCAGCCAGCCUCAGGCUGUGAGCUCGGCUGUGUAGGGCCCAGACGUGGCGACAAUGUCAGGACUGCCUGAUAAAAAACCAGCCAGCAACACACAGGAGUGCAUAUGAGGGUCGUGUACACGUGUACCUGGGUAGAUAAUCCCGCAUCUUCUUCUUCCUCCCGAUCCUCUGCACCCUCUCUGGCUUUCUGUUGGAGCUCCAGGGCCAGGCCAAGAACCUGGCACACAAUAAGUGUUUUUAAAAUACUUGCUGACAAAAUUUAUAAAUAUAUGCCUUAGAUGGAAUAUUGUACAUUAGAAGAGUUUUCAUUAAUGCUUAAUAAUGUUAGGCGAUGCUCAGAACACACAAAGUUUUAAAAAUAGGUUUAAAAUGACUGUAUGUGUGCAGUAUGAAGCUAAUUUUUUGAAGGAAACGAAAGAUUAGUGCACACAGGAAAACUGGAAGAAAAUGCGCCAAAAUUCCACAGAUAAUUCUGUGAGUACAUGAAAUUUCAGGUAAUAUUCUAAUUUUAUUCUUCACAAUUUUGUAUAGUUUUCAAACAAUAAGCAUGGGUUAUUUUUAUAGUCAUAUAAAAGCACUCGUGUGUGUAUGUGUGUGCACGUGUGCACUUAUCUCCAUGUAAAACAUGUCUUUAUUGACGGAGUUUAGACGCCCCUAAGGACAUUCUUCUGCAGAUGCCGUCACCCUGUUGUCUUUCUGCUGCGGGAAGCCGCCGUGUUCCUCGUGAGAGGUCGAGUCCUGACCCGCAUUGACUCAUUUCAUGGCUCAUCGCCAGGCACCUGGUUUGUAAAGGUCAUCUCCUGCUCCUCCAGGUGGAUCCUCUUAAGUGAUGCUGUUACGCAGAGUCAUCGUGUGUGAGCCCUGGGGUGGCAGAUGCCGGGCACAGUGCUCCACACCAUGAAGUCGGGCUCUUGCCUUCUAGAGUUCACGGCGCAGGAAAAGCACACGUUGGCAGACGCUGCACCUAAAAGUCGAGGCUCAGUUUAGGCAGCAAUGCUGACCUUCCACGGCCUCUUUACCUGGUGACUUUAUGUCCCUUACCUUAUUCUUCUUCAAGAUCUCCCCUGAGGUCACCUGUGCCACAUGCCACCAUGACCCUUUCUCGUCACAAACACUUUUAUAUUCAUUUUCGUGCGCGUCUUCGUGGCAAUGCCUGUGGGUCCCUGGCUCUUAGCUGGCUCUGUUCCCCUUGGUCACGAAUCUCGCCAGGCUCACUUCUGAGAGGGGUGAGAGAGUGCCUCUUGUCUUAUCGUUCCUUUUAUUUUUAUUUUUUAUUUCUUAGCUUUGAAGGGGAAUUUACUGGACUUCCAAAUGCCUCUGCCGAUUUUUCUGGCUUCUGGAAAUGAACUUAAUGAUGACACUAGAGUCAACAGAGAGGUGCUCCCCGUCCGUGUGCAGCCCGUCCUGCAGUGGGGAGCCCUGUGGACCCCGUCAGCCACGGCCCUCUUCUCUGGUGUGAGCUGAGAGCCCAAGGGCUGAGUCACCCCCCAGCACAACCAGGAGUCGGUGCAGACUCAGGCCUUUCCAGUGCGCCCAUUUCACUGGGUUCCGUUUCUGUGGGGAGAUGGCAGCCCAUCCCCCACAGGGAGUCGCUGCACUCCCAAGUGUCCAGCACAGGCCUGGCUCAUCUCCUCAUCCCCCAGGCCCUCCAGGACAGCUGUGGAACCAGGGCUGAUGGCAGGCGUGGCUAUAGUGGGGAUGGCCACGCUGCCUGAGCCAGGACAGCUUGUUGUGCUGGACGAGCUGUGGAGCACAGAACGGGCACAUCCCGUGGAGGACCUGGUCAGACUGGAUGGGCCCUGGACAUGGAGGUGGAGCUCACCACUGUGGGCAGUGUGUUUAGGACAACGUGUGCCCAAGUUGCACGAGAGGGAGCAGGUUAUUCCCAUUCUUUGUCCUGUUCCUUUCUGGAUGUUGAUGAAAAUCACUUCUCAGCAAGUGGAGCCUCCUGACUCAGCACCCCGUGCCCAGCCCCAGCUGUGCAGCUUCCUGGCCCACAUUCUCCCAGUGCUCUGAAUCCUGUCUCCCGCUUCCUCUCCUUACAACCCCAGCAUCUGGAGAAGGUGAAACCAUUUUCUAAAGUAUUGGAAGAAGCAGAUGUCAGAAGUCCUUCCAGCCUCCUGGACACACAGGGGAUUGGUUGCUGGCUGGAGGCCGCCGGGACGGUGAGCAGGGAGGUGCUGACUUGGGUGGUCUACUCUCCGGCCUCUUAGGCCAUGACGACAGAGAGCCUCAAGCAGAGAAGUGUGACUCCUGUAGGCAGCAGCGCGGCUGGACCUGCCGCCCACCCUGCGCCCACUCACUGACUGCGUUGGGGGUCUGGGGAUGAGCUGUGUGCGGGGGGCCUUGGCAGGGUGCUCGGGAAGGUCAGGAGCUGGGGUGGGCAGGAGGGUUGAGGAGCAGAGCAGACCGAAGUGGGCUUGGUAAUACAGCCUGAGGGGCGUGCUACAUUUGGGGGCCCUGGCAGCGGCUGCCCCUGCAGCUGGCAAUGGAGAUGGCUGCAGCCCCAAGGACGGAGCCAGACGCAGCUUCAUAGCUGGAGCGGGUCUCACUCAGGGCCAGGAGCUCUGAGUUUCCUAAUUAAGCAGCCCUUAAGAACACCUAGUUAAAUGGCAGAUUCCAAUGGGAGGCUGGAGAUGCCUGCCAGGGGCCAGCCAGCUUCCCACCUCCCUUGGACACAGCCACGGGUUUUCAUAGGGUGACAGGGAGGGGUCUGGGGGACAGGAUGUCACACAGCACAGUGUAGGCUCCACGCCCCUCCUGGCUGCACUGGUUUAGAUCCGCAUGU